Molecule: long non-coding RNA, 734 nt
Organism: Phyllostomus discolor (pale spear-nosed bat)
Lineage: Eukaryota; Metazoa; Chordata; Mammalia; Chiroptera; Phyllostomidae
Exons: 3
Source: RefSeq, a predicted model, not a curated record
UCCCUCUGGGAACCACCACACUGCUGUCUGUGUCCAUGAGUUUCAGGUUUAUAUUCCACUUGUGAGUGACAUCAUAGGGUUCUUAAUUUUUUGUCUGACUUGUUUCACUUAGCAUGACAUUCAGAGUCUAUCCAUGUGAUCACAGAUGGCAGUAUUCUGUCUUUUCCUAUGGCUGAGUGGUGUUUGUGUGUGACUUUUCAUCUCAUUCUCUUUGCCUGUCCCCAUCUGACAGCAACAGGAGUCAUUUUGCCUGUCAUUGUCCCCACAUGACCAGGGUGGUCCUUGCACUCAGGAAUCUGUGGUUUCGAGAGGUGAAGUUUCAGACUCAUCCUGCUCUUGCCUCCCUGGGCAUGAUUGUUCUUCCCACCUUUUCCCAGCCUCCUCCAGGGAACUGGGUUCUGGAAUCAGCAGAGAGCAGGGGGCCUGAAAUGUUUCAUCUCAGACACAUUCCUGCUGCGAUUCUGCUCUGCUCGGCCACCAUCUCCCCUGGCCCUUCACUCUAGUGGGGGCCGCAGUGCAAACUCAGGGAUUCACAGAGCAGAGGCCCCUGCAGGUUUAAGAGGGCAGCACCAUGGGGAAGUGUGGGGGCAUCCAUGGCAGCGUGACUGCAGGUUGUGCUGUGGCUGCCACAGCACAGCUGGGGGCUGGGCCACAUCAAUAAAGACACUGUCACUACAAUAGGGAGGUGUCCUACAGUGAUGGGUCACUCACUAGUAAUGUGUUAUGAGUCCUGG